This 77-nucleotide transfer RNA is filed under the name Flavobacterium columnare. RNAcentral's name for it is "tRNA-Ala". It matches the Rfam family "tRNA". From Rfam's summary of the family: Transfer RNA (tRNA) molecules are approximately 80 nucleotides in length. Their secondary structure includes four short double-helical elements and three loops (D, anti-codon, and T loops). Further hydrogen bonds mediate the characteristic L-shaped molecular structure. tRNAs have two regions of fundamental functional importance: the anti-codon, which is responsible for specific mRNA codon recognition, and the 3' end, to which the tRNAs corresponding amino acid is attached (by aminoacyl-tRNA synthetases). tRNAs cope with the degeneracy of the genetic code in two manners: having more than one tRNA (with a specific anti-codon) for a particular amino acid; and 'wobble' base-pairing, i.e. permitting non-standard base-pairing at the 3rd anti-codon position. Lineage: Bacteria; Pseudomonadati; Bacteroidota; Flavobacteriia; Flavobacteriales; Flavobacteriaceae. RNAcentral also lists the same sequence under 61 other names. The record is from RNAcentral.
GGGGGAUUAGCUCAGCUGGCUAGAGCGCCUGCCUUGCACGCAGGAGGUCAUCGGUUCGACUCCGAUAUUCUCCACGA